This 377-nucleotide ribosomal RNA is filed under the name uncultured bacterium. RNAcentral describes it as "bacterial SSU rRNA". It matches the Rfam family "Bacterial small subunit ribosomal RNA", at positions 523 to 898 of the family's 1533-position model. The record is from RNAcentral.
AAACGUAGGUGGCGAGCGUUGUCCGGAAUUACUGGGUGUAAAGGGCGCGUAGGCGGGGGAGCAAGUCAGGUGUGAAAUACCACGGCUCAACCGUGGGGGUGCAUCUGAAACUGUUCUUCUUGAGUGCUGGAGAGGAAAGCGGAAUUCCUAGUGUAGCGGUGAAAUGCGUAGAGAUUAGGAGGAACACCAGUGGCGAAGGCGGCUUUCUGGACAGUAACUGACGCUGAGGCGCGAAAGCGUGGGGAGCAAACAGGAUUAGAUACCCUGGUAGUCCACGCCGUAAACGAUGGAUACUAGGUGUAGGAGGUAUCGACCCCUUCGGUGCCGGAGUUAACACAAUAAGUAUCCCACCUGGGGAGUACGGCCGCAAGGUUGAA